Molecule: ribosomal RNA, 372 nt
Filed under: uncultured organism
Description: partial 16S ribosomal RNA
Rfam family: Bacterial small subunit ribosomal RNA
Source: RNAcentral
GUAGGUGGCAAGCGUUGUCCGGAAUUAUUGGGCGUAAAGCGCGCGCAGGUGGUUCUUUAAGUCUGAUGUGAAAGCCCCCGGCUCAACCGGGGAGGGUCAUUGGAAACUGGGGAACUUGAGUGCAGGAGAGGAAAGUGGAAUUCCACGUGUAGCGGUGAAAUGCGUAGAUAUGUGGAGGAACACCAGUGGCGAAGGCGACUUUCUGGCCUGUAACUGACACUGAGGCGCGAAAGCGUGGGGAGCAAACAGGGAUUAGAUACCCUGGUAGUCCACGCCGUGAACGAUGAGUGCUAAGUGUUGGGGGGGUUUCCGCCCCCUCAGUGCUGCAGCUAACGCAUUAAGCACUCCGCCUGGGAUACGGUCGCAAGACUG